CGGGGCGACGCCGUUCUGAAAACACAGCCACGAGGGACCCUCGGGACUCCCGGCGAGGGAGGCGACAGCCGUGUCGCUCAGGGGCCGUGUAUGAAGUGAGGGGAGGGGGCCCUCGGCUGCCGCACCCCCAUCUCGCUUUGGGGGCCGGGGAACCUCAGAGCCUCGGGGACUGACUGCGGCUCCCUGAAGGAGCCUGUCCCGUCGGGACGCCGCCCUCGAGCGCCGGGGGAGGACAGGCAGCAGGUGAGGCCACAGCGGCAGGACGGGGCCUUCCCGGCUCCUAAAAACAGCGCCGGCCCCCCCAGCUGGAGGAGGCGAGUUGAAAGGAGGCUUUCAAGCGCCGCUCCGCCUCCUGAAGCCAACGGUCCCGACACAAAGAUGCCCUCGGAGGACAGAACUAGAAUCCGGACGACCUUGACAAGUUGAAGCCGCCGCCGCCGCCGCCGCCGCAGCGGGGACUCGAAUGUACAAAGAGAAGGCGGUCGAGGGCUUGAAUCGUGAGCCUCCAAUUCGCACGGGGGAGUCCCAGCCGCCGGGAGCUCAGGACGCGACCUUGUCCGGAAGGGGGUCUCUGCAGAUUCUGAGAUCUGAGGCUUUCCGUUAAUUUUCGUUUCUCGCAGUCUGAUUCCCUCUGUUCGGAGUUCAAACCAGGGCAAAGUAAACACUUCGUUUAGCGCUGUGGAUACAGGCAGCGUCCUUUAGCGUUUAAGGGUCUUAAAAUAUGAGUAAAAUGCACCGAACUCCAAAGCUGAAUGAUUUCAGAAAACCCAAGAGCCCGUCAUCAGCAACGAGAGACACGCAAGAGGUGAGCGCGUCCUGGGACCUCCCCGGGACCCGGGACCGGAGAGCAGCUUGCGGAAGAAACAUGGAACCAGGCCCGAGCCGAGGAUUCCGCCCCGACCCCCAGCCCGGCCAUGAGGGCACAGGAGACGCACCCCGACACAGGGCGUCCCGCAGACCCCUGACCCGUCCCCCGAGACAGCCUGGGGCCUCCACACCGGAUCAUCUGAGCCCAGAGGGGCCCAGGGGACAGGACAGCUGAAUGUCACCUGGGGUCCUGAUGGGGACCGGGACAGAGGACGACGUACAGUAAACCGAGGCAAUCUGAAUAAACUACGGACGGCAGUUGACAGUGGAGCGUCCGUGUCG
RNAcentral lists this long non-coding RNA (1149 nucleotides) under Equus asinus (donkey). RNAcentral's name for it is "lncRNA (ENSEASG00005033084.1)". Lineage: Eukaryota; Metazoa; Chordata; Mammalia; Perissodactyla; Equidae. The record is from RNAcentral.